UAAUGGUUCAAGAAGUUGAUUAAAAGGAAAGAUGAGUGAAAAUCUCACACGGUCCCGCCACUGUAAGGAGGACGAAAUUAGACUAAGCCACUGUAAUUUUAUGGGAAGGCCUAAGAGUAGGAUGAAUCUGAGUCAGGAUAUCUGCCAUCAAUAUUUU
This 157-nucleotide non-coding RNA is filed under the name uncultured Cetobacterium sp. Lineage: Bacteria; Fusobacteriati; Fusobacteriota; Fusobacteriia; Fusobacteriales; Fusobacteriaceae. The record is from RNAcentral.